AUACGUAGGGAGCGAGCGUUGUCCGGAAUUACUGGGUGUAAAGGGAGCGUAGGCGGGAGUGCAAGUCAGAUGUGAAAUACAUGGGCUCAACCCAUGGCUGCAUUUGAAACUGCAUUUCUUGAGUGAAGUAGAGGUAAGCGGAAUUCCUGGUGUAGCGGUGAAAUGCGUAGAUAUCAGGAGGAACACCGGUGGCGAAGGCGGCUUACUGGGCUUUUACUGACGCUGAGGCUCGAAAGCGUGGGGAGCAAACAGGAUUAGAUACCCUGGUAGUCCACGCUGUAAACGAUGAUUACUAGGUGUGGGGGGACUGACCCCUUCCGUGCCGCAGUUAACACAAUAAGUAAUCCACCUGGGGAGUACGGCCGCAAGGUUGAAACUCAAAUGAAUUGACGGGG
RNAcentral lists this ribosomal RNA (395 nucleotides) under uncultured bacterium. RNAcentral's name for it is "partial 16S ribosomal RNA". It matches the Rfam family "Bacterial small subunit ribosomal RNA", at positions 523 to 918 of the family's 1533-position model. The record is from RNAcentral.